GGGGAUUAGUUCAAUGGUAGAGCAUAUGCUUAGCAUGCAUAAGGCCCUGGGGUCAAUCCCUAGUUACUCCA
Molecule: transfer RNA, 71 nt
Filed under: Ictidomys tridecemlineatus (thirteen-lined ground squirrel)
Lineage: Eukaryota; Metazoa; Chordata; Mammalia; Rodentia; Sciuridae
Description: Spermophilus tridecemlineatus (thirteen-lined ground squirrel) tRNA
Rfam family: tRNA
About the family: Transfer RNA (tRNA) molecules are approximately 80 nucleotides in length.
Source: Rfam by way of RNAcentral